GACGAACGCUGGUGGCGUGCUUAACACAUGCAAGUCGAACGGGAUUUAGUAAACAGCAGCCUCGGUGGAAGAUUACUAAUGAGAGUGGCGAACGGGUGGGUAACGCGUGAGCAACCUGCCUAUGACAGUGGGAUAGCCUCGGGAAACCGGGAUUAAUACCGCAUAAAAUCGUAGAAACACAUGUUUUAACGGUCAAAGAUUUAUCGGUCAUAGAUGGGCUCGCGUCUGAUUAGCUAGUUGGUGAGAUAACAGCCCACCAAGGCGACGAUCAGUAGCCGGUCUGAGAGGAUGAACGGCCACAUUGGAACUGAGACACGGUCCAAACUCCUACGGGAGGCAGCAGUGGGGAAUAUUGCACAAUGGGGGAAACCCUGAUGCAGCGACGCCGCGUGAACGAAGAAGGUAUUCGUAUCGUAAAGUUCUGUCCUAUGGGAAGAUAAUGACAGUACCAUAGAAGAAAGCUCCGGCUAAAUACGUG
Molecule: ribosomal RNA, 478 nt
Filed under: uncultured bacterium
Lineage: Bacteria
Description: partial 16S ribosomal RNA
Rfam family: Bacterial small subunit ribosomal RNA
Source: RNAcentral